RNAcentral lists this ribosomal RNA (571 nucleotides) under Pseudomonas sp. RNAcentral describes it as "bacterial SSU rRNA". It matches the Rfam family "Bacterial small subunit ribosomal RNA", at positions 113 to 680 of the family's 1533-position model. The record is from RNAcentral. Lineage: Bacteria; Pseudomonadati; Pseudomonadota; Gammaproteobacteria; Pseudomonadales; Pseudomonadaceae.
AUGCCUAGGAAUCUGCCUGGUAGUGGGGUUCACGCUCGGAAACGGACGCUAAUACCGCAUACGUCCUACGGGAGAAAGCAGGGGACCUUCGGGCCUUGCGCUAUCAGAUGAGCCUAGGUCGGAUUAGCUAGUUGGUGAGGUAAUGGCUCACCAAGGCGACGAUCCGUAACUGGUCUGAGAGGAUGAUCAGUCACACUGGAACUGAGACACGGUCCAGACUCCUACGGGAGGCAGCAGUGGGGAAUAUUGGACAAUGGGCGAAAGCCUGAUCCAGCCAUGCCGCGUGUGUGAAGAAGGUCUUCGGAUUGUAAAGCACUUUAAGUUGGGAGGAAGGGCAGUAAAUUAAUACUUUGCUGUUUUGACGUUACCGACAGAAUAAGCACCGGCUAACUCUGUGCCAGCAGCCGCGGUAAUACAGAGGGUGCAAGCGUUAAUCGGAAUUACUGGGCGUAAAGCGCGCGUAGGUGGUUCGUUAAGUUGGAUGUGAAAUCCCCGGGCUCAACCUGGGAACUGCAUUCAAAACUGUCGAGCUAGAGUAUGGUAGAGGGUGGUGGAAUUUCCCUGUGUAGCG